UACGGAGGAUGCAAGCGUUAUCCGGAAUCAUUGGGCGUAAAGCGUCCGCAGGUGGCCUAUCAAGUCUGCUGUCAAAGCGCAGAGCUCAACUCUGUAAAGGCAGUGGAAACUGAUAAGCUAGAGUUCGGUAGGGGUAGCGGGAAUUCCCAGUGUAGCGGUGAAAUGCGUAGAUAUUGGGAAGAACAUCGGUGGCGAAGGCGCGCUACUGGGCCGAAACUGACACUGAGGGACGAAAGCUAGGGGAGCGAAAGGG
This 253-nucleotide ribosomal RNA is filed under the name uncultured bacterium. RNAcentral describes it as "partial 16S ribosomal RNA". It matches the Rfam family "Bacterial small subunit ribosomal RNA", at positions 524 to 776 of the family's 1533-position model. The record is from RNAcentral.